UCGAACGUGAUCCAGGCUUCGGCCUGGUGAAAGUGGCAAACGGGUGAGUAACGCGUGGGAACCUGCCCAGAGGUAGGGAAUAACCGCGGGAAACUGCGGCUAAUACCCUAUGUGUCCUACGGGACAAAGAUUUAUCGCCUUUGGAGGGGCCCGCGUCGGAUUAGGUAGUUGGUGGGGUAACGGCCUACCAAGCCAUCGAUCCGUAGCUGGUCUGAGAGGAUGAUCAGCCACACUGGGACUGAGAUACGGCCCAGACUCCUACGGGAGGCAGCAGUGGGGAAUAUUGGACAAUGGGGGCAACCCUGAUCCAGCAAUGCCGCGUGAGUGAUGAAGGCCUUCGGGUUGUAAAGCUCUUUCGGCGGGGAAGAUGAUGACGGUACCCUCAGAAGAAGCCCCGGCUAACUUCGUGCCAGCAGCCGCGGUAAUACGAAGGGGGCUAGCGUUGUUCGGAAUUACUGGGCGUAAAGGGCGCGUAGGCUGUGCUGUAAGUCAGGCGUGAAAUCCCCGGGCUCAACCUGGGAAUUGCGCAUGAUACUGCGGCGCUGGAAUGCAGGAGAGGAUGGCGGAAUUCCCAGUGUAGAGGUGAAAUUCGUAGAUAUUGGGAAGAACACCGGUGGCGAAGGCGGCCAUCUGGCCUGCAAUUGACGCUGAGGCGCGAAAGCGUGGGGAGCAAACAGGAUUAGAUACCCUGGUAGUCCACGCCGUAAACGAUGAGUGCUAGACGUCGGGGGGCUUGCCCUUCGGUGUCGCCGCUAACGCAUUAAGCACUCCGCCUG
This 776-nucleotide ribosomal RNA is filed under the name uncultured bacterium. RNAcentral's name for it is "bacterial SSU rRNA". It matches the Rfam family "Bacterial small subunit ribosomal RNA", at positions 62 to 875 of the family's 1533-position model. The record is from RNAcentral.